Molecule: unclassified non-coding RNA, 557 nt
Filed under: Hevea brasiliensis (rubber tree)
Lineage: Eukaryota; Viridiplantae; Streptophyta; Magnoliopsida; Malpighiales; Euphorbiaceae
Source: RNAcentral
GCCUAUUUUACUUGUGCAUUAAUUGAAAUAUCUAUGAGAUUGAGUAACCAUUAAGAGUUGCUAAAGACAGUAUUUCUCUUAGCCCAAAGACUGCAACUAGCAAUUCUCAUUGCAUAACUCACUAUGACCACACCAGCACACAAUAAUUAAAAAAAAAGAAACAUAAAUUUGAGUUUCAUCAAUUUUUACUAUUUCCCGCAAGUCAAGUAUCCUGGCAUAGGACUGGCACGCGGUGAUCGGAGAGGAACCUCGUUAAGCUGCUUCCCGCUACUAUCAUAAUAAAUUACACCCGAAAAAUCUAACGGCUGGCACUUAUACCCCAUCAAGAUCGACUUCUGCCAAACCCCACCGUCCCCGAACUCGUCAGACUCCACAACGUCGUCGUCUUCGUCCGCUCGUUUCUUGUUGUGAAUAAACGAGAUUGCCUUGUUGCUUAUCUGCGUCAACAGCUGCUUCGGGCGGACUAGAGGCGAUUUCGGCGACACUAGUUUUGGAGUUUUGUCGCCGUCAUGGUGGUGGUGGGUGGACUUGGUGGCCGUGGGCUUGAGCUUGGUGGA